GGGGCCGUAGCCCAAUUGGCAGAGGCACACGGUUUAGGUCCGUGCCAGUGUCGGUUCGAGUCCGACCGGCCCUAC
This 75-nucleotide transfer RNA is filed under the name Kutzneria kofuensis. Its description in RNAcentral is "tRNA-Leu". It matches the Rfam family "tRNA". From Rfam's summary of the family: Transfer RNA (tRNA) molecules are approximately 80 nucleotides in length. Their secondary structure includes four short double-helical elements and three loops (D, anti-codon, and T loops). RNAcentral also lists the same sequence under 1 other name. Lineage: Bacteria; Bacillati; Actinomycetota; Actinomycetes; Pseudonocardiales; Pseudonocardiaceae. The record is from RNAcentral.